RNAcentral lists this ribosomal RNA (1117 nucleotides) under Arenibacter certesii DSM 19833. RNAcentral's name for it is "bacterial SSU rRNA". It matches the Rfam family "Bacterial small subunit ribosomal RNA", at positions 8 to 1126 of the family's 1533-position model. Lineage: Bacteria; Pseudomonadati; Bacteroidota; Flavobacteriia; Flavobacteriales; Flavobacteriaceae. The record is from RNAcentral.
AGAGUUUGAUCCUGGCUCAGGAUGAACGCUAGCGGCAGGCCUAACACAUGCAAGUCGAGGGGCAGCAUUUCCAGUUUACUGGAAGAUGGCGACCGGCGCACGGGUGAGUAACGCGUAUAGAAUCUGCCCUUUACUGGGGAAUAGCCCGAAGAAAUUUGGAUCAAUGCCCCAUGGUCCCUAUGUAUGGAUUCAUAUAUAGGGUAAAGGUUACGGUAAAGGAUGACUAUGCGUCCCAUUAGUUAGUUGGUAGGGUAACGGCCUACCAAGACUGCGAUGGGUAGGGGCCCUGAGAGGGGGAUCCCCCACACUGGUACUGAGACACGGACCAGACUCCUACGGGAGGCAGCAGUGAGGAAUAUUGGACAAUGGGCGAGAGCCUGAUCCAGCCAUGCCGCGUGCAGGAAGACGGUCCUAUGGAUUGUAAACUGCUUUUAUACGGGAAGAACCUAGGGCACGUGUGCUCUACUGACGGUACCGUAAGAAUAAGGAUCGGCUAACUCCGUGCCAGCAGCCGCGGUAAUACGGAGGAUCCGAGCGUUAUCCGGAAUCAUUGGGUUUAAAGGGUCCGUAGGCGGGCCAUUAAGUCAGGGGUGAAAGUCUGCGGCUCAACCGUAGAAUUGCCCUUGAUACUGGUGGUCUUGAGUUAUGGUGAAGUAACUAGAAUAUGUGGUGUAGCGGUGAAAUGCAUAGAUAUCACAUAGAAUACCGAUUGCGAAGGCAGGUUACUAACCAUAUACUGACGCUGAUGGACGAAAGCGUGGGGAGCGAACGGGAUUAGAUACCCCGGUAGUCCACGCCGUAAACGAUGGAUACUAGCUGUCCGGCAGCAAUGCUGGGCGGCCAAGCGAAAGUGAUAAGUAUCCCACCUGGGGAGUACGUCCGCAAGGAUGAAACUCAAAGGAAUUGACGGGGGCCCGCACAAGCGGUGGAGCAUGUGGUUUAAUUCGAUGAUACGCGAGGAACCUUACCAGGGCUUAAAUGUAGUCUGACAGCUUUAGAGAUAGAGUUUUCUUCGGACAGAUUACAAGGUGCUGCAUGGUUGUCGUCAGCUCGUGCCGUGAGGUGUCAGGUUAAGUCCUAUAACGAGCGCAACCCCUGCCGUUAGUUGCCAGCAUGU